This 689-nucleotide long non-coding RNA is filed under the name Anser brachyrhynchus (Pink-footed goose). RNAcentral describes it as "lncRNA (ENSABRG00000009766.1)". The record is from RNAcentral. Lineage: Eukaryota; Metazoa; Chordata; Aves; Anseriformes; Anatidae.
GUUUCGUCUCCAUGGAUAUCCCUCCAAUGAAACUGACAACUUUGUGUUCUUUAUAGUAGUGGGGAAUCUGUCCUGCUUUUCCAUAGCACAUGUCUGCUGGAGAUGGCAGCCUCCUAUGAGCACACUUUUGAGCUUGAUCAUUUGAAUUUGAGAACCCUUUGCAUUUGGACAUGCUGACCUACUUGCCCUGGUGCUUAGGAUUAGCAGGAAACUAUAUUUCUACUUGUCAUCAAAGGAUCAAAAAUUGAAAACUACGUGUGAAGAGUCAGGAUGCGUAUCACUCAGCUCUAUUUAGAUGCACAUAAAACCACUUUCUAACAUUUUUAAUAAUCCUGUGUAUAAAACAAACAGAGGAAAAUAUAUUGGAGUCAUCUUCAGCAGAAGACUCUUACUGUGUUAUGAAACUUUCUGCCGGCCUACAGCACAGCUUCUUCUGAGGUCUAAUCCGAGCGGAUGCAUGCCAUCAGUUCCAUGAAUUUGUUUUGCCUGUAGUAACACCUGCUGUGAAGCAGAGUGUAAGAAUUGGUGUUUAUGUGGCCUCUGGCUAUGCAAAACAACCCAUUUUUUUCUGCUGGCUACAGUAAUACUGUGAGCAAAGGCUCCUUCUCAACAUAGUCUUAUCCUUAAUGCAGCUCUAGGAUGAAGAAUACUAAAAUAAAGUGUAAGAAAGAAUAAUUGUGUUAUCCUGA